UUUUUUUUUUAAAAAAAGAUCUGGAUAUUUCCUUAUGACUUGGAAUCCAUCUUUGUCUUGUGUAACUAGGUCAUAGCACACCAUUAAUGUCAGCAGUUAACAAUUUUGAAUUCCAAAAAAAACCUAAGUAAAUGACAUACUUAAUUUUUUUAAUCUUUUUUUUUUUUUUUUCCUUUCUUUUUUUUCUUGGGUGGGUGGUGGUGGGGGGAGCUUGGAGCUGUCUUAAUCUGUAUUCUCUUGACUGAACAAUAAAUUUUUAAAUAUAUAGUUUCCUCUAUUAAACACUUAAACCUGGCCAUCUUAUUAACUCCUUCUGCUCGCUCUCUCUCUUUUUUUUUUUUUUUGGUAACAAGGUAAUGUUUUAAAUGUAUAGCUUUAGGACUAGCGAAAUGGCAGCAACAAAAAACUGUAAGCAGUUGUAACUCUUUUUAAGUUCUUAAAAAACCUUUUUACCUUGUAAGUACCCAAUCCAUUCUGUCCUUAACGCAGUGCAGUUUUCAUGUUAAUGUUGCUGAGAUGUCCUUAAUUUUCUGAACCUUCAUCUGCAUGUCUUGUCUUUGUCGCUCUUGUCUAAAAUAAGAAGCCAGUUAAAAUGCUUUGAGACGAUUUUGCUUUUAGAAAGCUAAGGCUUUAGCUUUCGGAAAUGUUUACAGCAAUGAAUGCUAGUCAGCUUUCUUCCCAGGAACAUGUACACUUUUCUUUGAAAAAUCGAUCUAUUUGGGGGGGGGGUUAAAAAACAGCUCUGUUUUUCUGGUCUUGGUAGAGGGGUGGGUGAGGGAAAGGAAGACCUCUUUGUGUAAAGAGACGAAAAAGCCGUCACAGGAAACUAGAUUAAAACUGGAAAACAAGUCCUGGCUGGUUCGAGCCAAACACCGACGUUGUUAACUCGCGGGGUGUUUGCUAUGGUGGUUGGGAUGGCCGCGUGUCUUUUUCGCCUUUUGUUUGACCUGACUGUGUGUUUUCGCCUUUUGUCUCUUAAUGACGGUCACACCAUUGCUAUAUCCAGAGCAGUAAACAGUCCUCAGCGAAGCCGCCUUUUGCCAACCCAACCCUGGAAAGUUUACAGAAGUGGAAGGAGCAGAAAAUGCCAUGAGAGUGUAACUUAACCCCCAAAAAAGGCUCUUGGCCAGAGAAGGGGCCGCGUUGCCGGUACCCCCCGAGCGGACCGCCCUCCCCUGGACAGCAGGAGCAGGCCUAGCUUGACUCUGACAGUCCUCCUACUAAGGAAAAUACCACGCUAACAGCACCAUGAAUCGCAAAAGAAAAUUACAAGAGAGUGAAAUUACGGAGGAACUUUUCGCAGACAGCGAUUCCAACACACAUAUUACAGACGACAGUGACAGCUCCGAGGAAGAGGACGGCAGCAUCGACCAAGACUUAGCUCAAACUCAGGCAGAGGAGUGGGUGCAAAAGUCAAGGAGCUACGUAUUCCAACAUCCAUUCAUGCAACAUCCAUGAAAAGGGUUUGAAUGCAAAUGAAGCUCCUAAUAUCACGGCAAGUUCCUCACCCAUGACAGUAUUUUUCCUCUAUUUUCAAGAAGUUAUUCACCUGCUAGUGCUUGAGACAAACAGAUAUUACUCCCAGUUUAUACAGAAAAAGGAAGUUGGAUCAUCUCCAGAACCCGACAUAAAAUACUCCGAAAUGUGUGCUUUUUUGGCAAUUGUGAUUCAAAUGGGACAUGAUAUCCGAGAUUCUCUAAAAGACUAUUGGGCACGAUUGGAACAGUUUUACACCCCUUUCUAUGGUAAUGCAAUGGCAUGCGAUAGGUUCUUACACAUCCUUAGGUUUUUACAUUUCACAAACAAUGAGAAUGAACCGAACAGGAAUGAUGAAAGUUAUGAUAGACUCUGGAAGAUAAGAAACCUUUUUGAUGUUCUCAGUGAAAAAUAUUUUAAACUUUACAGGCCUUCAGAGUACCUAGCAGUGGAUGAAGUCAUUGUUCUUUUCAAAGGCAGAGUGAUUUUCAAACAAUACAUUUCCAAAAAACACAAGAGGUUUGGAGUAAAAAUCUGUAAGUUGUGUGACUCGGCGGGAUAUACAGUAGACAUGACUUCACCUGGGGCAGGACAGGCAGAACGCAGCGCAAGACGUAACAGCUACGUGUGCGACUGUGAAAACUUUGCCGAGAAGGGUGGAAGGAAGGGGGCAUAAGCUCAUGAUGGAUAAUUUUUUUUCUUCUCCCGAACUUUUCGAACACCUAAGGAAAAUAAAAAUAAAUUGCUGUGGGACAGUUAGAGCAAAUCGAAUUGGUUUGCCGGAAGAAUUCAAAGACAAGAAAUUGAAAACGAAACGCGGAGAUGUGAAGGUGAGAUGCAGACGCGAUCUGACGGCGAUCAUUUGGAGAGAUAAAUGUCCAUAUGCUGACAAAUAUGCACGUGCCACCUGAAGAGGGGCACUUCUGUGAUAGCCAGGGGAGAGCUCUGAAUCCUGCAGUCAUAAAAGACUACAACAAACACAUGGGUUACGUUGACAAAUCCCACAGAAUGGCCAAUAGUUACUCCAUUAGCGGGCGCCCUUGGAAGUGGACGAAAAAGCUAUUCUUUCACCUCCUUGAUCUGACUGUUCUAAACUCAUGGGUUGCCUUUGUUUCUGUAGGGAGCAAGGUGACCCAUCGAGAUUUUCGGUUGGCGCUCGUGAGAAAUCUUUUGGAGGCCGCCGGGGGGAGAACCAACCUACUUGCUGCCUCGUAGGCCGGCCCGCUGCCGCCUCAGCCAGCGUCUUGCGCCUCAUUCGCCUGGACGCCAGAGGCACGAGCACUGGACAGAGAGAGGAAGGCAGGCCAGGCGCCGCUCACGCUCGCUUCGCGGCAAAGAGUCGCACCGUUUUUCGGUGCUCGAAGUGCAACGUAGGCCUGUGUGUAGACAACUGUUUCAAAUUAUUUCACACAAAAACAAUUUAGAAUAAAAAGAACUUUUUGAAGACCCUUUCCAAGAGUGAAACGUUAAGAAAAUGUAAUAAUAAAAAAGGAAAUGUUUAUUUUUUGUAUUGAAAAAACGUAAUUUAAA
Molecule: non-coding RNA, 3006 nt
Organism: Miniopterus natalensis
Lineage: Eukaryota; Metazoa; Chordata; Mammalia; Chiroptera; Miniopteridae
Source: RefSeq, a predicted model, not a curated record